Molecule: ribosomal RNA, 253 nt
Filed under: uncultured bacterium
Lineage: Bacteria
Description: partial 16S ribosomal RNA
Rfam family: Bacterial small subunit ribosomal RNA
Source: RNAcentral
UACGUAGGGGGCAAGCGUUGUCCGGAUUUACUGGGCGUAAAGAGCGCGUAGGCGGAAGCUUAAGUGUGGCCUGAAAGCCCCCGGCUCAACCGGGGAGGGUGGCUGCAAACUGGGUUUCUUGAGGGCGGCAGAGGAGAGUGGAAUUCCUGGUGUAGCGGUGAAAUGCGUAGAGAUCAGGAGGAACACCGGUGGCGAAGGCGGGUCUCUGGGCCGAUACUGACGCUGAGGAGCGAAAGCGUGGGGAGCAAACAGG